This 245-nucleotide ribosomal RNA is filed under the name uncultured bacterium. RNAcentral's name for it is "partial 16S ribosomal RNA". It matches the Rfam family "Bacterial small subunit ribosomal RNA", at positions 528 to 772 of the family's 1533-position model. The record is from RNAcentral.
GAGGGUGCGAGCGUUAAUCGGAAUUACUGGGCGUAAAGCGCGCGUAGGCGGUAUGUCAAGUCAAGGGUGAAAUCCCCGGGCUCAACCCGGGAACUGCCUUUGAAACUGUCAAACUGGAGUGUGUGAGAGGGUGGCGGAAUUCCAGGUGUAGGAGUGAAAUCCGUAGAUAUCUGGAGGAACACCAGUGGCGAAGGCGGCCACCUGGCACAUAACUGACGCUGAGGUGCGAAAGCGUGGGUAGCAAA